CCAAAGAAAUUGGAUUCAACGUAUUUGUUACCACUUUGUGGUGUGCGUUUUACUUGCGCAGUCUCGACAAUGGCGAAGCAAAUGAAGCUGUUUGAAUGUGGAGUGAAAGGUUUGACUCACCCGUCGACACCACAAACAAACGCGAGUGCAAAUUCACUCAACUGACAACGGACCAGUUCAGCCUGAACGCUGGACGCAAAACACGCAUGACGUUUAGGCAUACGAGGAAGCGCCGGGUCAGAAACUGACGCACAAACGGCCAUUUUCGCGGGCCUAUAGUAUUUGUAAUUAAUUACACAAUGUUAUCAGGUGACCAAAAAUGGCCUUUGGAGAAAGCACACACACUGCCGAGGGCCUCAAUGCUCCUCCAUCAAAAACUCACUACUAAACCCACGUGGAACACUGUAGUUUAUGGAUUUCUACUUUUUAAGCAUUUCCGUGGAGCACCCCUGCUCUAAUGGCAUCCGCUGCAUCAGUGUUUCGUUUUCCAUUUGAUAGAAGAACAAAGCACGUCGCUCCCCGCACCGGCCUCGGCCAGGGUUUGAUUGACAGGCGGUUCAUCCAAUCGGCUGCCAGGUAUUUCUCAUUUUUGAAAGUGCCAAAGAGAACUUUUGAGAUGGUUUUCUGCGCGCCAGACCAUCUGGCGCCUCAGGCUAACGUUACUCUGAACUUUUUAUUCGCAUUCCGUGUCAUCGCGAUAAUCGCGACCCGAGGGCCGAACCCACGCGGCUGAUGAUAGUUGCCGUUGUGUUCUUGUGAAGAGACGUGUAUUUAUAUUCCUUUGACCCAGCAGUCAGUUUGACCCGUGAAAUGGUGAAAUACUCACAGACAAACUUGAGAAAAGUUUCUAAGUUUUAUUUCAUAUUGUUAAUUUAAAACCCAAGUGAGUGCUUUGGCAUGGAAGAUCGGAAAAAUUCUAAAUUCCUUGGCCUUUCAAUUUCCCACUUUUCUUUUCUUUGUCUCCUCUUCCUCUCCUUCAAGUCCUCCCGCUCGUCUCCUCCGCACUGCUCUGCUGCCUUACUCUCCCACCCACACUAAUCCUUGUUUUAUUCAAGACAUGCUGUGCAACACAUCACAAUGUGCAGGACCUUGGCUCGGCUCUUUUUCGGAGGGGGGAAGGGGGGGCGGCGUCGGUUAGUUGUGGCUGCAGUACCACCGCCCCCGGGGGGCCGCCGAAGGCCCGAGUGCACCGGGCCUGGAGGACUGAGGAAGAGGGGUAUUAGCGGGCCUCUGGCCGGCGCCCCCCCCCCCCCCCCCGGAGCCCGGCGUGGCGUCGGGGGGGAGAGGAAGCGUCCCAGAGAACACCCGCCGCUCACCUCCUCCUCCUCCUUCCUCCCUCCCAGCUUUUUUUUAUAUUUU
This is a long non-coding RNA of Gasterosteus aculeatus aculeatus (three-spined stickleback), 1359 nucleotides long. Lineage: Eukaryota; Metazoa; Chordata; Actinopteri; Perciformes; Gasterosteidae. The record is from Ensembl.